GACAAUAAAGCAUAGAUAAUGCAUCAAUUCGCAAAAUUGAAGACCGUAAAAACUACUAUUGUCU
Molecule: transfer RNA, 64 nt
Filed under: Iphiteon panicea
Lineage: Eukaryota; Metazoa; Porifera; Hexactinellida; Hexactinosida; Dactylocalycidae
Description: tRNA-Cys
Source: RNAcentral